This 1521-nucleotide ribosomal RNA is filed under the name Streptococcus thermophilus. Its description in RNAcentral is "partial 16S ribosomal RNA". It matches the Rfam family "Bacterial small subunit ribosomal RNA". The record is from RNAcentral. Lineage: Bacteria; Bacillati; Bacillota; Bacilli; Lactobacillales; Streptococcaceae.
GGGACGGGGGGGGGAGGGGGCGGGGGAGGAGGGCGGGGGGGGGGGGGGGGGCGUUUUUAUAUAUCUACUUCCUCCCCCGGGGGGGCGGCGGCCCAAAACACAAAGCCCCGGAAGAGGGCUUCUCUUUGAGAAAAGGGAGCGGUGAAACGGGUAGCACCCCUCUUGGGGGGGGAUAUUUUGGAAACGUAAUUAUCCCCGCACAACAGGGGGACCCCCUUUCUUUUUUGAAGGGGCAAUUCUCCCCUAACAGAGGGGCCCCGGUUUUAUACUUGUAGUGAAGUAAGGCUCCCUUAGGGGACGAACAUAGCCGCCCUGAGAGGUGAUCGCCACACUGGGAUUGAACACGGCCCAGAUUCCUACGGGAGGCAGCAGUAGGAAUCUUCGGCAAUGGGGCAACCCUGACCGAGCAACGCCGCGUGAGUAAGAAGUUUUCGGAUCGUAAAGCUCUGUUGUAAGUCAAGAACGGGUGUGAGAGUGGAAGUUCACACUGUGACGGUAGCUUACCAGAAAGGGACGGCUAACUACGUGCCAGCAGCCGCGGUAAUACGUAGGUCCCGAGCGUUGUCCGGAUUUAUUGGGCGUAAAGCGAGCGCAGGCGGUUUGAUAAGUCUGAAGUUAAAGGCUGUGGCUCAACCAUAGUUCGCUUUGGAAACUGUCAAACUUGAGUGCAGAAGGGGAGAGUGGAAUUCCAUGUGUAGCGGUGAAAUGCGUAGAUAUAUGGAGGAACACCGGUGGCGAAAGCGGCUCUCUGGUCUGUAACUGACGCUGAGGCUCGAAAGCGUGGGGAGCGAACAGGAUUAGAUACCCUGGUAGUCCACGCCGUAAACGAUGAGUGCUAGGUGUUGGAUCCUUUCCGGGAUUCAGUGCCGCAGCUAACGCAUUAAGCACUCCGCCUGGGGAGUACGACCGCAAGGUUGAAACUCAAAGGAAUUGACGGGGGCCCGCACAAGCGGUGGAGCAUGUGGUUUAAUUCGAAGCAACGCGAAGAACCUUACCAGGUCUUGACAUCCCGAUGCUAUUUCUAGAGAUAGAAAGUUACUUCGGUACAUCGGUGACAGGUGGUGCAUGGUUGUCGUCAGCUCGUGUCGUGAGAUGUUGGGUUAAGUCCCGCAACGAGCGCAACCCCUAUUGUUAGUUGCCAUCAUUCAGUUGGGCACUCUAGCGAGACUGCCGGUAAUAAACCGGAGGAAGGUGGGGAUGACGUCAAAUCAUCAUGCCCCUUAUGACCUGGGCUACACACGUGCUACAAUGGUUGGUACAACGAGUUGCGAGUCGGUGACGGCGAGCUAAUCUCUUAAAGCCAAUCUCAGUUCGGAUUGUAGGCUGCAACUCGCCUACAUGAAGUCGGAAUCGCUAGUAAUCGCGGAUCAGCACGCCGCGGUGAAUACGUUCCCGGGCCUUGUACACACCGCCCGUCACACCACGAGAGUUUGUAACACCCGAAGUCGGUGAGGUAACCUUUUGGAGCCAGCCGCCUAAGGUGGACAGAUGAUUGGGGGAAGUCGAAACAAGGAGCAUGGG